UCCGGCCAGGUCGUUACAUGCGUGCGUUCUUCCGAGUUUAACGCGUAGUUACAAAAGUAACUCUUUGAUGCAAUUCUCAUCCUUACCAGUGACUCCCUCGUGCUUUCUCUGCGAAAAUUCAUAGUUCCUUAAUUUCCUCCUCUAUUGCUCCAUCUUUUAUGUUGUUUUCUGGUAUUAUUAAGUUUUGCUGCGUUCUCUAUGGAGCUAUAAAUCGCAAAGCAUUUUACAGAUGCAGAAAUUAUUGAAGAGAUGUUGAUCUUCAUGACUAGCGCCAUAUACUCUUUUUGGCAGAAUUAUUAUGAUAUUGAGCAUCUUUAAGACAUUCCCCGAAAGAAGGAGAAUUGGAUAUUUGAAUGGGAAGCUGAUUAAUUAUCUUAGAAUGUUUUCUAUUUAACUUGUAAAAAUAUAUAAGAAUACUUUAUACCUAAUUUACCAAAAUAUCUUAUUGUUUUUCCUCCAAGUCUUUGUUGAUGAAAAGUGCCAUUGUUCAUCAGUGCUUGUGCUGCCAAGGAAAUUCUAAUAUAAUCUUCGGAUUCUCCAUUUAGAGAUCUAA
Molecule: long non-coding RNA, 553 nt
Organism: Nicotiana tabacum (common tobacco)
Lineage: Eukaryota; Viridiplantae; Streptophyta; Magnoliopsida; Solanales; Solanaceae
Source: RefSeq, a predicted model, not a curated record